Molecule: ribosomal RNA, 490 nt
Filed under: uncultured bacterium
Lineage: Bacteria
Description: partial 16S ribosomal RNA
Rfam family: Bacterial small subunit ribosomal RNA
Source: RNAcentral
AUUGAACGCUGGCGGCAGGCCUAACACAUGCAAGUCGAACGGUAACAGGAAACAGCUUGCUGUUUCGCUGACGAGUGGCGGACGGGUGAGUAAUGUCUGGGAAACUGCCUGAUGGAGGGGGAUAACUACUGGAAACGGUAGCUAAUACCGCAUAACGUCGCAAGACCAAAGAGGGGGACCUUCGGGCCUCUUGCCAUCGGAUGUGCCCAGAUGGGAUUAGCUAGUAGGUUGGGUAACGGCUCACCUAGGCGACGAUCCCUAGCUGGUCUGAGAGGAUGACAAGCCACACUGGAACUGAGACACGGACCAGACUCCUACGGGAGGCAGCAGUGGGGAAGAUUGCACAAUGGGCGAAAGCCUGAUGCAGCAAUGCCGCGUGUAUGAAGAAGGCCUUCGGGUUGUAAAGUACUUUCAGCGGGGAGGAAGGGAGUAAAGUUAAUACCUUUGCUCAUUGACGUUACCCGCAGAAGAAGCACCGGCUAACUCCGUG